GCCGUGCUGACGGUCGCCGGGCACGACCAUCCCGUCGCCGCGAUCGGCGCCGGCGCCACGGGCGCCGACGAGCUGUUCAACUCCACCGGCACGGCG
This 96-nucleotide transfer RNA is filed under the name Spirilliplanes yamanashiensis. RNAcentral's name for it is "tRNA-Arg". The record is from RNAcentral. Lineage: Bacteria; Bacillati; Actinomycetota; Actinomycetes; Micromonosporales; Micromonosporaceae.